This 497-nucleotide ribosomal RNA is filed under the name uncultured bacterium. RNAcentral describes it as "partial 16S ribosomal RNA". It matches the Rfam family "Bacterial small subunit ribosomal RNA", at positions 28 to 507 of the family's 1533-position model. The record is from RNAcentral.
GAUGAACGCUGGCGGCGUGCCUAAUACAUGCAAGUCGAGCGAACAGACGAGGGGCUUGCUCCUCUGACGUUAGCGGCGGACGGGUGAGUAACACGUGGAUAACCUACCUAUAAGACUGGGAUAACUUCGGGAAACCGGAGCUAAUACCGGAUAAUAUAUUGAACCGCAUGGUUCAAUAGUGAAAGACGGUUUUGCUGUCACUUAUAGAUGGAUCCGCGCCGCAUUAGCUAGUUGGUAAGGUAACGGCUUACCAAGGCAACGAUGCGUAGCCGACCUGAGAGGGUGAUCGGCCACACUGGAACUGAGACACGGUCCAGACUCCUACGGGAGGCAGCAGUAGGGAAUCUUCCGCAAUGGGCGAAAGCCUGACGGAGCAACGCCGCGUGAGUGAUGAAGGUCUUCGGAUCGUAAAACUCUGUUAUUAGGGAAGAACAAAUGUGUAAGUAACUAUGCACGUCUUGACGGUACCUAAUCAGAAAACCACGGCUAACUACGUG